GGGAGUCGGCGAAUAUCCGAAGUUGGUGGAGCUUUUGGCGAAGUCCUGAAGUCGAGCUGACUCUGGGCCAAAGUGAAGAUUUAGAUGAUGGUCGUUGACGUUUACUGGGCCGAAACUGAAGGGAAUUCGAGCAUCGUAUGCGCCGAUGAUUCACCGAUUAAGGUGAAAGUAUGUAAUUUAAAAACAAUUUUCAGCAGAAUAAAACAGGGCUGUUCAAAACAGCCCAUUGCAAACUUUGGAUCUGAUCCAAUCCUACGAAAUUCUCAGAUGAAUCCGCAGGAUAUGUGAUAGAAAUAUUCAUGCAUGGAUUACAUCGUAUGUGUUCUUGAAUUGAGAUCAAAUCUCAACUCCAAAAACUGAAAACAGAACACUAACAUUUCAGCAGGUUGGUUCUAGCUUGCUGUUCCGCAACCGCACAAGCGUCCAGCCUCUACAAGUAAUCCACGCGAGGCCUCUAGAUCAAUCGGCAUCCCGAGGAGUGCUAGCUCGCAGGGAUGCAGCAGGUGGCCGAGAGAGAGGGAGAGAACUAGGAGGAAGAGGACUAGCUACCCUUUCCUUCAAUCUUUUUUUUUCCUUUCUUUUUCUUACAACAUGAACUCUCAAAGAUCAUUUCACUCUUUCCCAACUGGUGUCAAAACACCAAAUACUCUAAGCCAGAUCUUUUUU
This 666-nucleotide long non-coding RNA is filed under the name Phoenix dactylifera (date palm). RNAcentral's name for it is "long non-coding RNA (PDAC_LNC008254)". Lineage: Eukaryota; Viridiplantae; Streptophyta; Magnoliopsida; Arecales; Arecaceae. The record is from RNAcentral.